Molecule: long non-coding RNA, 761 nt
Organism: Prunus dulcis (almond)
Lineage: Eukaryota; Viridiplantae; Streptophyta; Magnoliopsida; Rosales; Rosaceae
Exons: 2
Source: RefSeq, a predicted model, not a curated record
UUUCAAUCUGAAACCAUGCUUGAGGCCCACAAGACUGGUGCAAUUACAAUAAGAAUACAGUUCUGCAUCCACCAUGCUUAUCAUUAUUAGUACCUAUAAAGAGAGAGAGAGAGAGAGAGAGAGAGAGAGAGAGAGAGAGAGAGAGAGAGAGAGAGAGAGAACAUAUCCUUGCCUUAAUGUUUAUAAUGGAGAGAGAUGAAGUUAUUGAACAUCACAGGAGAUCCCCUAACCUUUCCAGGUGCAUGAUGUCCCCUUCAUGCUUUCCAGUGCAGGGGGAAAUGGAGUACACUCGCCUCCACGGCUGCGGCCGCAGCAAGAGAAGCCCGCGAUGGCGAAACUUGCUGCGGAGGUUGCUGAGUGAUAGGGGCAGAAGCAGAAACAUGAACAAGUAAAUAGACGACAUAUUCAAGCCAUGUUUCAUGAUGUGAGAUGGGAUCGCUUACAUGAGUGAUGUUGUUGUGUGCAGCUGCACUAGCUAGAUGUGUAAGUACAGAUUUUUUAUUAAUCAUUGUAUUGUAAAUAUUUCAGAUCUAUAUGUGUAAGCAUAUAUAUAUAUAUGCAAAUUUGAAUCUUCUCUGUUUUCCUUUUUCAAUUUCUGAUGCUCAAUCGUGAGGAGGUUUUCUGUAAUGCGGAAUGGAUGUAUGUUGUGAGAUUAAUUCGGGAUGUGAGUGGCGUCCGUACACUGUUCUAACGGUACUCGUAUUCCGUAUUAAUCUCGUAACAAAAUUUCAAUAAGAAGAUAAAUUAAUGCAUAGCUUUAA